RNAcentral lists this ribosomal RNA (252 nucleotides) under uncultured bacterium. RNAcentral's name for it is "partial 16S ribosomal RNA". It matches the Rfam family "Bacterial small subunit ribosomal RNA", at positions 524 to 776 of the family's 1533-position model. The record is from RNAcentral.
UACGGAGGAUGCGAGCGUUAUCCGGAUUUAUUGGGUUUAAAGGGUGCGUAGGCGGGCUUUUAAGUCAGCAGUAAAAAUUCGGGGCUCAACCCCGUCCGGCCGUUGAAACUGGGGGCCUUGAGUGGGCGAGAAGAAGGCGGAAUGCGUGGUGUAGCGGUGAAAUGCAUAGAUAUCACGCAGAACCCCGAUUGCGAAGGCAGCCUUCCGGCGCCCUACUGACGCUGAGGCACGAAAGUGCGGGGAUCGAACAGG